Molecule: non-coding RNA, 24 nt
Filed under: Arabidopsis thaliana (thale cress)
Lineage: Eukaryota; Viridiplantae; Streptophyta; Magnoliopsida; Brassicales; Brassicaceae
Source: RNAcentral
AGCAGACGACGAUGAUGCUUUCGC